UCGAAUUCCUGUAGAGAUCAGGCCAUGAUAUAGAUGAGUAAAGCAGGCCCAGAGAUCUCACCCUCCUCUUUCUUGAAACCAGCAGUAGUCUGCUGUCUUUAGUUUUUCUGUUUUUGAUAGAGACAUGGGUAUGGGAAAAAGGUUCUUCCCUGCGAGGAAAAGCACAGUGCAAUGAACUUGAUAAAAGGCGGUUGACUGUUUCCAUGGUGCUGACCAGCCCCGGCGCUGGAACACUGGGUUCCACACUGCCCUCUGCUGGCCCUCUUCCUCCCAGCCAAGCUUGCCUUUUAGGGGUUUAUUUCCUCAUUCUUCACCAAAUUUUCCAUCAGUUUGCGUGCUUUGAGUUAGAUAAAAUGACUCCACAGACCAGCAUUAUGAAGAUGAGACCUCGUUGAAUUGUAGAAAUGCCACUGAGCCCUGGGAACCUGGAAUCAGGACAGACCAGAGAAAAUAGACAAUGCUCGUCUCAAUUUGGACUCACCAUGUAUCAAGUUGGACUCACCAUGUAUCAAGUUGGACUCGCCAGAGAAAACCCUUCCUGAGGAUGCUGAGAAAUCCUCCGUCUUCGUGGGAGGGCUCACUGGAGCAUAUUCCGGAAAUGGACGAGGGAGGGAGGUCAGCUCAUUUCGGCCGAUGGUAACUCCAGCCUGACUUAAAUCAGUCAGUUCUGCUAAGAAACAGGCUCCGUGAGUGCCCGGAGGUCAAGGUGGUAUAAAAGGCACUAUUCAACAAUAUUUUACUUAUGUGCACAUAGCUCCAGUCUAGCACUUUUUCUAUGCAGUUGGGUGACUAUCGUCUGCACAGACAACAAAACAAAGACAGACCUACAUGGACUCAAGCAGUGUGUGUGACCCUUGUGUGGGCAGCGUCAGUGGAGUGGCCACAGAACUGCCUCUGCCAUCAGAGAAGCAGGGACAUUGGGACUAAAAAGAUCCAGGAGUGCCUCAAACCAAAAGAAAUUCUACGACUCCUACAAAAUGGACAUGCAUUUAUUUUUUUCUACACAUCAUUUGAACUCUUGAAAAGAGGUCACAUGUCAUAUGUUAGAUAAUGCUUGCCGGCUUGGAGAGUGGAAAGGACCCAUUCUUGUAAGGCGAAUUUAAGAGAACCAAUGAGGAACUGUCAGGCACCGAAGUUUGUAACAACAUAGGUACUCUGGGAAGAUUGGGAAAAUACAGAUAUCUUGCAAUUCAGGGGAUUGUAA
Molecule: long non-coding RNA, 1204 nt
Filed under: Equus caballus (horse)
Lineage: Eukaryota; Metazoa; Chordata; Mammalia; Perissodactyla; Equidae
Description: lncRNA (ENSECAG00000057260.1)
Source: RNAcentral